GAUGAACGCUAGCGAUAGGCCUAACACAUGCAAGUCGAGGGGCAUCACAUGAAGUAGCAAUACGGAUGGUGGCGACCGGCGCACGGGUGAGUAACACGUAUGCAACCUGCCUUCAACAAGGGGAUAACCCGUUGAAAGACGGACUAAUACCCUAUAACACAGGGGUCCCGCAUGGGAAUAUUUGUUAAAGGACAACCGGUUGAAGAUGGGCAUGCGUUCCAUUAGCUAGUUGGCGGGGUAACGGCCCACCAAGGCAACGAUGGAUAGGGGAACUGAGAGGUUUAUCCCCCACACUGGUACUGAGACACGGACCAGACUCCUACGGGAGGCAGCAGUGAGGAAUAUUGGUCAAUGGACGCAAGUCUGAACCAGCCACGUCGCGUGAAGGAAGACGGCCCUACGGGUUGUAAACUUCUUUUAUACGGGGAAUAAAGUGCCCCACGCGUGGGGUUUUGCAUGUACCGUAUGAAUAAGGAUCGGCUAACUCCGUGCCAGCAGCCGC
Molecule: ribosomal RNA, 502 nt
Filed under: uncultured bacterium
Lineage: Bacteria
Description: bacterial SSU rRNA
Rfam family: Bacterial small subunit ribosomal RNA
Source: RNAcentral